CAGCCGCCGCGGUAAUACGUAGGGUGCGAGCGUUAAUCGGAAUUACUGGGCGUAAAGCGUGCGCAGGCGGUUCGUUAAGACAGAUGUGAAAUCCCCGGGCUUAACCUGGGAACUGCAUUUGUGACUGGCGAGCUAGAGUAUGGCAGAGGGGGGUAGAAUUCCGCGUGUAGCAGUGAAAUGCGUAGAGAUGUGGAGGAAUACCGAUGGCGAAGGCAGCCCCCUGGGCCAAUACUGACGCUCAUGCACGAAAGCGUGGGGAGCAAACAGGAUUAGAUACCCGCGUAGUCCCUGUCUCUUAUAC
This 301-nucleotide ribosomal RNA is filed under the name uncultured bacterium. RNAcentral describes it as "partial 16S ribosomal RNA". It matches the Rfam family "Bacterial small subunit ribosomal RNA", at positions 509 to 807 of the family's 1533-position model. The record is from RNAcentral.